This 231-nucleotide unclassified non-coding RNA is filed under the name Hevea brasiliensis (rubber tree). Lineage: Eukaryota; Viridiplantae; Streptophyta; Magnoliopsida; Malpighiales; Euphorbiaceae. The record is from RNAcentral.
GGACUUCUUACUCGGUGCAUCCCGUCAGUCCAAGUUAAGCUCCCGAAAUAAUAGUAUGUGGUGUAUUUGUGGCUGGUUGAAAUGGUGAUAGUGAAAGAGAUUUUCUUGGUGCUAGAGUUGAAUAUCAAAGUUUCAGGCUUUACUUUUAUGGUAAUGCCCAGUGGAGGUUCAAUGAUGGCUUCAUAUUUGGAGUUCACUGGUCCAACAUUGGUGACGGUUCUUCUAACUUUU